Callithrix jacchus (white-tufted-ear marmoset) is the source of this 3387-nucleotide long non-coding RNA. RefSeq lists it as uncharacterized. Lineage: Eukaryota; Metazoa; Chordata; Mammalia; Primates; Cebidae. The record is from RefSeq and is a predicted model, not a curated record.
GUUACUAUGGUUGCCACUAGCUACAAGGGGCUAUUAAGCACUUGAUGUUGGCUAAUUCAACAAAGAAAUGAAUUCUUACAUUUAUUUAAUUGUAAUUCAUUGAAAGUUAAAGAGCCAAAUGUGGCUGGUGGCUUCCACAGUGGACAGCAUAGCCCUUGAACCUAUCAAAGAUGGAUACUUCCAAGGAUGAAGACUGAAUUGCAGCAUUUUGCGUUCUCAAGUCUUGAAAAACAAAAAAAGAAUUUAUAGAACUGAACAACUACAGAGAUUCAACUAUGAAAUGUAUUCACUUACCAGUGAAUAAACAAUUCCUUUCAACUAGAACUACAGCAAAAGAGAACUGAGAGCCUGUUGAUGAGCAAUGCCAACAUGUUUUGCCAAAGCGUGAUUUUGAUAUUCAAACCCACACACUGCUACGUGAUUCCAUUUAGCGAAUACUUCCUAAGACACUGGUGGGCCUCUCUAGGGCAGGCGUGCGACCUGCUCCAAGUCAUCUAAGUCACUCUGGUAGAAAGAGGCCAGGGCAGGCAGUGCCCACAGCUCGUAAUCAACGCUUCGUCUCUGAACUACAGCAGUUACAGAGAGCAUCACAGGACCCUGAGCAGGCAGCCAGACUCAACUAAGGCAAUAUCAUCAAUUACCUCAAAAAAUUGGCUCAGAUCAAUCACAAUGGAAUCGGCUGAGUUGGAAGAUUCAUUGUCUUUUGUUCAGUAUUUAAAGAGAUCAACAAAGAGGUACCUCCUGCACACCCCUAUAUCCCUGAAACAUCACUCAAGGAGGAGAUUCUAGACAAGGAAGGAACACCAUGCACACCUGACUGCUGUGAGCAUUCAGAAUAACACCAAAAACCAGACAAGAGAGACAGUAACAAGCAAAACUGUAAAAAAGGAAUGGUCAGCAUGGUCAAGGGAGACCGUCACAAGUGAUGCUCUACCCAGCCUGAGAGCACAUUAGCGGGAACACUCACCAAGUGAGUAUCAGAAACACAGGAUGGAACUGACAUCAGAAAAGACAGAAACUCCAGGCACAUGCCUCCCAGGCCAGAAGAGCUAUUCUCAGUGCUGAGAGAUAAGGAAACAGACUCAAGGUCACAGGACUGGUGAGCGGCAGAGCCAGGUUUCUAACUCGAGAGGCUUUCCCAAAACUCCUUUGGGUUUCCUCAUACAGCUGCCCAAGGUAUGCACUACGAAAUGCCAUGACUAAGUGGGCACCAUUCACACCGCAGACAAUGUCAAUCUGUAAUCGUGGUACAAUUUUGUGGCCAGUGACAAUAAGUAUCUCAUUUUAAUAAAAUGCCACACAGAGAGGAAAUGAAGUGUUUGGUGGAAGGCAUGCCUUUUCUAACUGGUGCAAAAGUGUCAUAUUGGCCAGCGACAGCCCUGACUACAGGUUUAUCCAAUUCAGAAGAUGGAGGUGUAAAACUGGGCCAGGGAACACAGAGGAAGUUUAGGUUGCUGGAGUUCUCACUGAACCUCAGCUCUCUGAGGCGUGCAUUCCAAGUCCAUCAACCAACACCAAAUCAAUAGUUCAAAUCAUCACCAGAUUUCCGGACGGGCCAAAAGUAGCCAUAGUAUUCAAAGGCCUAGAGCAGGAAGAAGAACUCACUUUAAAUGUUCACACUAAAGGUCAAAAUCCAUUAAAGGCCACUUUUGCAGCUGGGUCUGUCUACUUUAUGUCAAAAUCAAAAUGCAAGAAUCUAGUAACCCAUUUUCUGGAUUUCUACAUAAUUUCUACAGCCUCCCUCUGUUUUCAAGGCCAGUCAUACAAGGCAGCCUUCAGAGGCUGAUCCAACUGCAGCAGAGGGGCCGGGCAGGACUUAGAGUUGCAGAGAACACCUGAAACACUGAGAAACAAAAUACUGACAAACUCCAUUUGCAGAAAGAAAAUAACUCUAGGAAAAAAAACGGUUCCAUUUAUUAUGGCAUGUAUUUUUUAAUUAAAGAAGGUGCCCCCACAAAAUAUGCCAUCAGCUCUUCCACUGUAGCUGGGGUAUGCACCCCCCCAUCCUAAUUAGAAAACAAAGCACACCUUCAGGCACCUGGUGAUUUUUCUAUGCAAUGGCAUAGUAGAAUGUUCAAUAGGGAUUGUUUUAAUAGGGCUGGUAAUGAGAUCUGGGUGAAAAAUCUCUCUGUUAAUUUAGCAGGCCUCCUGAGAUGUAAAAAUUCUAGUUUGCAGGUGUUUUGAAGUUCCUCGCAAAGCCUAACCUCAGCCUGCCCCCUAGUUUUGACAUUAGGAUUUAAAUAUCACCUGUAAAUCUCUUAGUCAUUUUGUCCCCAUCAAAAAUCACUUCUAGUCUCUUCUUGCCCCUCCACUAGUGUGAGUCUAUUUUGAUUUGCCCAGUACUAACUAAAAUGCUACUAAAUCUGGCACUAUACUAAUCUAUGAAUUUUGAAAGCCAGCCUCUACAGAGUGCAAACCCUAAGAUCAUCCAAUCAAAGGCAAGGCGACCUCAAUGGCCAGGAUCAACUCAAGCAGCUGCUGUCGUUCUGUGACCUUCCUGUUUUACGAACACAUCAGUCCCUGUAAGCAUACUUAGAUAAAUGACUUGCAAAUUAAAAGAAACAUUUUUAUGAUUCACUGCAAUAGCUUGCUUUUUGGGAUACAAGGUUAAAAGUGAACAGUAAACCUUUUAAGGUUAUUGAAACUAAAUUAUUAACGCUGGGUUUCACCUUCCUUUUGUCCUCUUUAUGGCAUUCUUCCUAAUUACUCACUGCAACUCCACUCCUACAAGUUGUAAAUCAAAUGAAAAAUCUUUAAAGCACAAAAACACCUGAUUAAAACAUUCAACCACAAGGGAAUUACAGAGACGAUGGGGAGUGACAUCCUGCAUUUUUUAAAAACAUGAAGCUUCUGAUAGCUUAUGAAAAAGAACGUUGUGAAAAUUGUGCACUUUCAUCUCCGGAAGUAACCAAAAGAACAGUCCAACGUUUGAAAUCUAUUUGUAACCUUCAAAAUAAUGAGCACUUUUCUCUACUUGGAUCGCACCUGGUGCCUCACACCCAGAGUGCAUUUUACCUGUGCGAUUUUGUACUCAAACAUGAGCUGUUUCAAAGGGGGCUGGUGACUCUUGGUGGAGAAUGGAGUUUUCCUUCAGCCCUCUGAAUAGCGGGUGACUGACAAAGCUCCGAAACCAGAAUAUGGAACCCGAAAUGUAAUGGAGGAAUGCCUAAUUCUGCCUUACCUAGUUGGGGCCUCCAUUUCCUAAACUGUGAAAUGGGCUGAUGGCACCUUCUGCUUAGGUCCUAGUUGGGAAGAUUAUGUGAACUUCUCAGCACAUAGUUCGUUUAACAACAUAUUCACAGAGGGGACUAAUGUGCUACACAUUUUAUAAAAGCCUGUUCUAUGAAUCCCCAAACAGUUUGAAUUACUUAACCGGAUUCUGACUAA